Molecule: long non-coding RNA, 510 nt
Organism: Frankliniella occidentalis (western flower thrips)
Lineage: Eukaryota; Metazoa; Arthropoda; Insecta; Thysanoptera; Thripidae
Exons: 2
Source: RefSeq, a predicted model, not a curated record
ACUCCUGCCCCCGUCUCCUCUCCUGUGCCGUACAGCCGUCACUGUCACUCACAUGCUUUUGUCCACUUAGCGCUGGCGUUUUCGCACUGACGUCAACGUGUCGACGCGAGUCUGCUGUAUAUAACUGCCCGGCAAAGCGCAGACCACCAUUCGCGCUUCUGGUUCCACCGACAGCAAUACAAACGCGUUCUCUCAGCCAUGGCUCGUCUUGCCGCCGUCCUCUGCCUCGUGCUGGUGCUAGCACUGGUGGCUCUCUCCCAGGCCGCCCCGCAGGGCUCUGAAAGCAAUAGGCCGAUCGUUGGCGCCAACCGCUGCACCUGGGGACCCAGCUACUGGUGCAAUAGCCACGCCAACGCAAAGGAGUGCAGCAUGACAGACUGGUGCGUGGAGAAGCAGAUGCUCACUCGCCAGUGAGCCAUCACACCACUGGCCCCGCCAACUGAUUGACCAUUUUUCUGUAUAAUCUAUCUUGAAUUUUUUUCAAACAUAAUAAAAGUACAUGAAAUAUGA